Molecule: ribosomal RNA, 392 nt
Filed under: uncultured bacterium
Lineage: Bacteria
Description: partial 16S ribosomal RNA
Rfam family: Bacterial small subunit ribosomal RNA
Source: RNAcentral
AUACGGAGGAUCCGAGCGUUAUCCGGAUUUAUUGGGUUUAAAGGGUGCGCAGGCGGCCAUUUAAGUCAGCGGUUAAAUCGUGGGGCUCAACCCCAUUCUGCCGUUGAUACUGGGUGGCUUGAUUGCGGUCGAGGUUGGCGGAAUUCGUUGUGUAGCGGUGAAAUGCAUAGAUAUGACGAAGAACACCGAUUGCGUAGGCAUCUGACCAGACCGCAAAUGACGCUCAUGCACGAAAGUGCGGGGAUCGAACAGGAUUAGAUACCCUGGUAGUCCGCACAGUAAACGAUGAAUACUUGUUUUCGGCGAUAUAAUGUCGGAGGCAAAGCGAAAGCGAUAAGUAUUCCACCUGGGGAGUACGCCGGCAACGGUGAAACUCAAAGGAAUUGACGGGG